CCAGGUUUUCCUCUGCACCUGCUCAAAGUGGUCUUCCUGUCUUUUUGGUGAAGCCAUGUUGGAGCCUCAGGAAACUUCCCAACCAAGGACUCUGAAGCAUCUCCCUUGCAGAUGCUCUCUCAGCCACAGCAGACUGCAUUCCCCACAUUCCAGAGCCAUGUGGAAACCAUUGUUUGCAUCUGUGCAUUUCCAACAGUGGGGCUCUCCUGGAUGCCUCUGGACUAGUGUGAGGCUCCAUGGUUGCAGUGCAGAGCCUGCUUGCUGGUCAGUGGGAGCUGCAAGGCUGUGGCCAGGUGGGGAGCUGACAGACAGGCAAGCAUCACCCAGGUAUCUCUGGUUUUGGUCUACAAUCCCAUAGCACACAUUCAGAAUAUAAGCAAAAGCAUCUGGGACAUCCUCCUCCUCCAAAGAUUCUCCCUCCACUUCUCUGGUUUCUCGCUCUAGGUAUAACAUGCCUGAGAAGUGAGCAGUGCAGACAGCUGCUCCUCACCCCAAAAGCCCCUUUCCUGGUCUUGUGCUCUGUGUUCCCCAUGGCCUAAACUGUCCUUCCCAUGCAUGUCUCACAGAAGGGCUCCUGGUUCCCUGUCCACUCCCCAUUUCUCCUAAGCAGAGCCAACUGGCUUCUGCUCCCACAUUACCAAAAUGCCUCCAGCUAGAGCCAGGGCUUUGGUCAGAGUGACUCCUGCCCAAUGGACCCACUAAGGUGGGGUCUCCUGGGGGCAUCUAGUGACAGGAUCCUCCAGGCCUCCUUGUUUUCUCUGGCCCAGCCAGCUGCCACCUCCCCCCUCUCCUCCUAGCCUGCUCUAUCUCCUGCCUCCAUGUGCUCCCACCUCCUGGAGAUGGAUGUGACCUGGAAUCCUAUCAAUGCACCACACCCUUCCUGCUCCUUACCCUGCCUUGGUGGCACCUGGUCCCCAAGGGUCCAAACAUGGGAACUUCUCCUCCUCCCAGGCCUCUCCUCUGAGAUCCCAGGAGCUCCAUGAUCCAACAGGGUCCGUACUUUACUUUGUAAAGGCCUGAGGUCAGGACUCCCUUUCCACAUACACCUGCUGCCCUGGCCUGCCUCUGCAGAGACACACAGGGUCACCACUCCUGCUCUCCUUCCCCACCCCGCCUCCCCUCCAGGCCCCUGAUCUUCCUCCUAGAUGGCUCUCAGGUCAGGUUCCACCUCAUUUCCUCUCAGGAAGCUCUCACUGGCUGUCACCUGGCUGGCUUACUCGGGUCCCCAGUGACUGGCCCUGCUUGCUGCCCACCCUCCUGCUCCUCCCUCACAGGCCAUCAGCAUGGUCUGGCCACCCUCUUCUUAUGUGCUCUGUGGCUUCUUGCUGCUUCUAGGGAAGCCCAAGUCUCUUGACCCAGCACCUAAGGACUGCAGCCCCGCCUUCCACCUCCCUCCCUGUGUCUCCAGAGUGAAAGAUCCUAAGUGUCCCCAACAUCCCCUCCACCCCAGCAGACGUCAUGUGCCACACAGACACCUGCCAGAGACAUGCAGCACGCAGCAUGAAGUGCUCUCCCGACACCCACCCAGGGCUCUGCCUGUGGACUGCUCUGUGUGCACUACGGCCUCGUUCUGUGAUGUGGGGCACCCCCAGAGCUGCCUUGAAGAACUGGGAUAGCUCUGCUCCUCAGUCAACGCCUCAACUCCUGCCCCUUCCUCAGGAACAGCACCGCCCAAGGUGUGGUCCAAGGACCCAGCCUGAGGAAUGUGGGCACCUUCUUCAGGCAGUGUUUCUGGGCCCAUCAAAUUGGAAUCUUUGAGGAACAAGUGAAAAGGCGCGAAGAAAGCAGAAGCGAUGUUCAUGCUUGUGGUGUUUAAAAUCUCCACUUCUCAUUUAAUCAUUCCAUGUAAGAAUGAAUAAAUUCUAAGGCCACUUUAUAAAUGAGACACGGAAACUCUGAAAGGUUAGUUAACUUUCUUAAGGUCACACAGCUGGAACAUCUGACCUCCAGCUGUGAACACCGUGAAACCCACUUGCCUGUACCCACCUUUCCCCGUCCUGCCUCACCACCCAUGAUCCCACCCUGCAGGACUCUGCGGGUCCCUCCUCCUCUCCUUCACAGUUGGCUGGGGCCUCCUGGUACAGUAAGCCCAGUGCUGCUCUGCUGCUCAAACUUUGCCACAUGCUUGUUGUAGCCCCAGCCCCAUGGUUCUAGGAAAAACUUCUCACUUCCAGACCCAAAUCCUCCUGCUGUCUAACCCUAAACUCCUGUUGAAAAGGCCUGAGAGGAGGGCUGAGCCUCAAACUGGAAAUUCUAAAUGAAACCAAGAAGGCUAACAUGGGGUUCUCGGCCACCCACCUGAAGGACAUCGCUGCCACACGGCUUUCUUUAGGCCAGUGCUUCUUGCAACACAGUUUACUGCACAGUUUAAGUCUAAAAUAUUUAUAAGAACACACACAGAGUUGGCCAUUCUUUUAUUCUCCCACUUUUUUUAUUGGUGCAUUAUAGUUGUACAUAAUGGUGAUAUUUGUUGUUAUAUAUUUGCACAUGUGCACAAUAUCACUAUUGGCCAACAUCAUUCGCAGUAUUUCCCCUUUCCUUCCCCUCCUCCUUACCUCUGUCCCUUUUUCUAUUCUACUGAUCUCCCUUUUAUUUUCAUGAGCUCUCCCACCUCUCUUUUCCUUUUUCAUCAUUAGCUUUCACAUAGCAGAUAAACAUACCACCUUUAACUUUCUGAGUUUGGCUUUAUUUUGCUUGACAUACUGGUCUCAAGUUCUAUCCAUUUUCCUGCAAAUGGCAUAAUUUCAUUUUUCUUUAUGGCUGAAUAAAACUCCACUGUAAACAUGGGUGUGCAAAUACUGCUGUAGUACGCUGACUUUAAUUCUUUAGGCU
RNAcentral lists this long non-coding RNA (2832 nucleotides) under Marmota monax (woodchuck). The record is from RNAcentral. Lineage: Eukaryota; Metazoa; Chordata; Mammalia; Rodentia; Sciuridae.